This 972-nucleotide ribosomal RNA is filed under the name uncultured bacterium. RNAcentral's name for it is "partial 16S ribosomal RNA". It matches the Rfam family "Bacterial small subunit ribosomal RNA". The record is from RNAcentral.
GAGUUUGAUCCUGGCUCAGGAUAAACGCUGGCGGCGUGCUUAAUACAUGCAAGUCGAGCGGCAGCAUGCACUUCGGUGUGAUGGCGAGCGGCGGACGGCUGAGUAACGCGUAGGAACGUACCCCAAAGUGAGGGAUAAGCUCCAGAAAUGGAGUCUAAUACCGCAUGUGGUCUUCGGAUUAAAGCUUUAUGCGCUUUGGGAACGGCCUGCGUACGAUUAGCUUGUUGGUGAGGUAAAGGCUUACCAAGGCGAUGAUCGUUAGCUGGUCUGAGAGGAUGAUCAGCCAGACUGGGACUGAGACACGGCCCAGACUCCUACGGGAGGCAGCAGUAGGGAAUUUUCCACAAUGGGCGAAAGCCUGAUGGAGCAACGCCGCGUGCAGGAUGAAUGCCUUAGGGUUGUAAACUGCUUUUCUUUGUGAGGAUUAUGACAGUAGCAGAGGAAUAAGGAUCGGCUAACUCCGUGCCAGCAGCCGCGGUCAUACGGAGGAUCCAAGCGUUAUCCGGAAUUACUGGGCGUAAAGAGUUGCGUAGACGGCAGAGUAAGCAUGGUGUGAAAUCGUAUGGCUCAACCAUAUAUACACAUCCUGAUCUGCUCAGCUAGAGGAUGAGAGAGGUGGCUGGAAUUCCCAGUGUAGGAGUGAAAUCCGUAGAUAUUGGGAGGAACACCGAUGGCGUAGGCAGGCCACUGGCUCAUUCCUGACGCUCAGGCACGAAAGUCUAGGUAGACUGCCCCGGUAACGGGGAGGAAGGAGGGGACGAUGUCAGGUCCGUAUUUCCCUUACACCCUGGGCUAGAAACACGCUACAAUGGCCGGUACAAAGGGCUGCCAAGUCGCGAGACGGAGCAAAUCCCACCAAAACCGGUCUCAGUUCGGAUUGUAGGCUGAAACUCGCCUGCAUGAAGUUGGAAUCGCUAGUAACGGUAGGUCAGCACACUACCGUGAAUACGUUCCCGGGCCUUGCACACACCG